RNAcentral lists this ribosomal RNA (253 nucleotides) under uncultured bacterium. Its description in RNAcentral is "partial 16S ribosomal RNA". It matches the Rfam family "Bacterial small subunit ribosomal RNA", at positions 524 to 776 of the family's 1533-position model. The record is from RNAcentral.
UACGUAGGGAGCAAGCGUUGUCCGGAAUCAUUGGGCGUAAAGCGCGUGUAGGCGGUUACAUAAGUCUGUUGUGAAAGUCGGAGGCUCAACCUUCGAAAGCCGAUGGGUACUGUGUGACUUGAGUACGGAAGAGGAGAGUGGAAUUCCUGGUGUAGCGGUGAAAUGCGCAGAUAUCAGGAGGAACACCAACGGCGAAGGCAGCUCUCUGGGACGUUACUGACGCUGAGACGCGAAAGCGUGGGGAGCAAACAGG